Scylla paramamosain (green mud crab) is the source of this 531-nucleotide long non-coding RNA. RefSeq lists it as uncharacterized. The transcript is spliced from 5 exons. The record is from RefSeq and is a predicted model, not a curated record. NCBI's taxonomy places the organism in Eukaryota, Metazoa, Arthropoda, Malacostraca, Decapoda, Portunidae.
UUGAUCUCUCCUCAUCGCAGGUCCGUGCAACAUCACUACUGCAGGGUGGGUGGCGCUGCGGAGCAUGGGAGGCCUUGAAUGGCAUGGACGUCAGGAACAUGAGCAUGCCAUCGUGAUCACCCGCAUCAGCAGACAGAUGAUGAGUGACAGAGUGGAGGUCCUUACGUCCUGCUGUUGCUGCUGGCGUCGCCUCGUCACAGGAUCAGUAUGGGACGAUUGGGAAGGGACGGAGACGAGUGGUGACCCCACAAUCAAGCUGUACGUGAGUGGCACUGUCUACAUUAGAAAGUUUUUCCAGCUCAUACCGGCAGCGGGAGGCCGUACCGCUGCGGGAUAUGUUUACAAUCACAUGGGAACACCAACGUCUCCAGAAACAUUACAAACAUAUGCAUUUGAGCAAAGUCUGAAAUGUUACAUCAUUCAUUAUUUUUUUCAUGUUUAUAAACAUAUUAUCUUCUAUAAAAAAAUAAAUAAAUAAAAAUAAAAAAGUGUUUUGUUUCCAAAAAUAUACGAAAGGAAGAUGAAGGUGUC